This 73-nucleotide transfer RNA is filed under the name Canis lupus familiaris (dog). It matches the Rfam family "tRNA". From Rfam's summary of the family: Transfer RNA (tRNA) molecules are approximately 80 nucleotides in length. The record is from Rfam by way of RNAcentral. Lineage: Eukaryota; Metazoa; Chordata; Mammalia; Carnivora; Canidae. RNAcentral also lists the same sequence under 1 other name.
GCAUGGCUGGCUCAGUCGGGAAAGCAUGUGACUCUUGAUCUCAGGGUUGUGAGUCCGAGCCCCACGUCAAGCA